ACGUAGGCAGCAAGCGUUGUUCGGAGUUACUGGGCGUAAAGGGUGUGUAGGCGGUCCUCUAAGUUUGGUGUGAAAUCUCCCGGCUCAACUGGGAGGGUGCGCCGAAAACUGGGGGGCUUCGAGUGCGGGAUGGGAGAGUGGAAUUCCUGGUGUAGCGGUGAAAUGCGUAGAUAUCAGGAGGAACACCUGCGGUGUAGACGGCUCUCUGGACCGUAACUGACGCUGAGACACGAAAGCGUGGGUAGCAAACAG
RNAcentral lists this ribosomal RNA (252 nucleotides) under uncultured prokaryote. RNAcentral describes it as "partial 16S rRNA". It matches the Rfam family "Bacterial small subunit ribosomal RNA", at positions 525 to 775 of the family's 1533-position model. The record is from RNAcentral.